CCUACGGGUGGCAGCAGUGGGGAAUAUUGCACAAUGGUGGAAACCCUGAUGCAGCGACGCCGCGUGAGCGAAGAAGUAUUUCGGUAUGUCACGCUCUAUCAGCAGGGAAGAAAAUGACGGUACCUGAGUAAGAAGCGCCGGCUAAAUACGUGCCAGCCGCCGCGGUAAUACGUAUGGAGCAAGCGUUCUCCGGAUUUACGGGGUGUAAAGGGAGCGCAUGCGGGCUUGCAAGUCUGAGGUGAAAUACCGUGGCUCAACCCCGGAGCUGCAUUGGACACUGUGUUGCUUGAGUGUCGGAGAGGCAGGCGGAAUUCCUAGUGUAGCGGUGAAAUGCGUAGAUAUUAGGAGGAACACCAGUGGCGAAGGCGGCCUGCUGGACGAUGACUGACGCUGAGGCUCGAAAGCGUGGGGAGCAAACAGGAUUAGAUACCCCAGUAGUC
Molecule: ribosomal RNA, 440 nt
Filed under: uncultured bacterium
Lineage: Bacteria
Description: partial 16S ribosomal RNA
Rfam family: Bacterial small subunit ribosomal RNA
Source: RNAcentral